CAUAAAAGUGGAGGCUAUUGUAACUGAAGAGAACUGGAAAGUUCCACCGUAGAAGGUAAUAGUCCUGUAAGUGAAACGAGAAGACCACGAGUUAUGAUCCAGAGUACCACGAGACACGUGAAACCUUGUGGGAAGCAGGGAGGACCACCUCCCAAGGCUAAAUACUACCUGAUGACCGAUAGUGAAGCAGUACCGUGAGGGAAAGGUGAAAAGAACCCCGGGAGGGGAGUGAAAUAGAACCUGAAACCGUGUGCCUACAACCGCUCAGAGCCCCUUAUGAGGGUGAUGAGGUGCUUUUUGUAGAACGAGCCAACGAGUUACGGUAUGUAGCAAGGUUAAGUACUUAAGGUACGGAGCCGAAGGGAAACCGAGUCUGAAUAGGGCGACUAGUUGCAUGCCGUAGACCCGAAACCGGGUGACCUAUCCAUGGCCAGGUUGAAGCGAGGGUAAAACCUCGUGGAGGACCGAACCACGUUGCUGUUGAAAAAGCAUGGGAUGAGCUGUGGAUAGCGGAGAAAUUCCAAUCGAACCCGGAGAUAGCUGGUUCUCUCCGAAAUAGCUUUAGGGCUAGCGUCGAGUAUGAGUAGUGGAGGUAGAGCACUGAAUGGGCUAGGGGGCAUAGCGCUUACCGAACCUUAUCAAACUCCGAAUGCCACAUACUUUGAGCUCGGCAGUCAGACUACGAAUGAUAAGAUCCGUGGUCAAAAGGGAAACAGCCCAGAUCGUCAGCUAAGGUCCCAAAGUGUAAGUUAAGUGGGAAAGGAUGUGAGAUUUCUAAGACAACUAGGAUGUUGGCUUAGAAGCAGCCAUUCAUUAAAAGAGUGCGUAAUAGCUCACUAGUCGAGAGAUCUUGCGCCGAAAAUGUAACGGGGCUAAACUUACC
This 883-nucleotide ribosomal RNA is filed under the name Clostridium perfringens. Its description in RNAcentral is "partial 23S ribosomal RNA". It matches the Rfam family "Bacterial large subunit ribosomal RNA", at positions 310 to 1192 of the family's 2925-position model. The record is from RNAcentral. Lineage: Bacteria; Bacillati; Bacillota; Clostridia; Eubacteriales; Clostridiaceae.